Long non-coding RNA from Lemur catta (Ring-tailed lemur), 625 nucleotides. RefSeq lists it as uncharacterized. Lineage: Eukaryota; Metazoa; Chordata; Mammalia; Primates; Lemuridae. The record is from RefSeq and is a predicted model, not a curated record. The transcript is spliced from 2 exons.
UGGACUCCUGACCUCAAGAAAUCCUCCCGCCUCGGCCUUCCGAAGCUGGGUUUCCUGCCCUGAAAAUGAACGAAGCCCCUCCCCAGAACAGCUUACUAGAGAAAACAUACCAACGCUGGCGAGUCUCAGACAUUCUCUCACAAAAGACCCAGGGACUCCAAAUUAAAGGGAGGAUGCUUAGGAAAGGAAAGCCUGAAGAGUUUGCAAAGUGACUUUCAGACAUUGAACUGAGUCACCAUCGUUUCCUGCUGAAGUUAUCCUAGAGAACCAGCCAUACCGCUCCCAGGCCAGCUGCCUGCUCUGAGCAGGACCAGCCAAUUAGCCACAGGAGUCCCAGGCGGCCCCAGCCUUUCAGUGACGCAGCACACACUUCGUUAUUUAUCCACCAGCCUUCAGGGCAAGCAAGAGAGGAAAACAAGCAAAUGGAAACAUUACACAGAGCAGCCAGCUUUCCUCGGCUCUCUUGUUUGUUCCUGAGCUGAGGACGGAAAGAAAAUCUCUUCACCUAAAAGGCAUGGAUUUUCCUGUGGAUUUGGAUUCUUCGACCAUGGAUUUGUGUCCCACUAGCCCUGUUUAUUCUGGGGGAAAAAAGCCCCUGUGGGAUAAAGAAUGGGAGGAAAACGGA